Molecule: ribosomal RNA, 477 nt
Filed under: uncultured bacterium
Lineage: Bacteria
Description: bacterial SSU rRNA
Rfam family: Bacterial small subunit ribosomal RNA
Source: RNAcentral
UGAACGCUGGCGGCAUGCCUUACACAUGCAAGUCGAACGGCAGCGCGGGGCAACCUGGCGGCGAGUGGCGAACGGGUGAGUAAUAUAUCGGAACGUACCCUGGAGUGGGGGAUAACGUAGCGAAAGUUACGCUAAUACCGCAUACGAUCUAAGGAUGAAAGUGGGGGAUCGCAAGACCUCAUGCUCCUGGAGCGGCCGAUAUCUGAUUAGCUAGUUGGUAGGGUAAAAGCCUACCAAGGCUUCGAUCAGUAGCUGGUCUGAGAGGACGACCAGCCACACUGGAACUGAGACACGGUCCAGACUCCUACGGGAGGCAGCAGUGGGGAAUUUUGGACAAUGGGCGCAAGCCUGAUCCAGCAAUGCCGCGUGAGUGAAGAAGGCCUUCGGGUUGUAAAGCUCUUUUGUCAGGGAAGAAACGGUGAGAGCUAAUAUCUCUUGCUAAUGACGGUACCUGAAGAAUAAGCACCGGCUAACUAC